Molecule: ribosomal RNA, 339 nt
Filed under: uncultured Bacillus sp.
Lineage: Bacteria; Bacillati; Bacillota; Bacilli; Caryophanales; Bacillaceae
Description: bacterial SSU rRNA
Rfam family: Bacterial small subunit ribosomal RNA
Source: RNAcentral
GCGGCGGCGCUAGAAUGCAGUCGAGCGAAUGGAUUAAGAGCUUGCUCUUAUGAAGUUAGCGGCGGACGGGUGAGUAACACGUGGGUAACCUGCCCAUAAGACUGGGAUAACUCCGGGAAACCGGGGCUAAUACCGGAUAACAUUUUGAACCGCAUGGUUCGAAAUUGAAAGGCGGCUUCGGCUGUCACUUAUGGAUGGACCCGCGUCGCAUUAGCUAGUUGGUGAGGUAACGGCUCACCAAGGCAACGAUGCGUAGCCGACCUGAGAGGGUGAUCGGCCACACUGGGACUGAGACACGGCCCAGACUCCUACGGGAGGCAGCAGUAGGGAAUCUUCCGC